RNAcentral lists this ribosomal RNA (515 nucleotides) under uncultured bacterium. RNAcentral describes it as "bacterial SSU rRNA". It matches the Rfam family "Bacterial small subunit ribosomal RNA", at positions 391 to 905 of the family's 1533-position model. The record is from RNAcentral.
GCGACGCCGCGUGUGGGAUGAAGCUCUUCGGAGUGUAAACCACUGUUGCCCGGGACGAACAGCUCGAUUUCUCGAGCCUGACGGUACUGGGUGAGGAAGCACCGGCUAACUCCGUGCCAGCAGCCGCGGUAAUACGGGGGGUGCGAGCGUUGUCCGGAAUCACUGGGCGUAAAGGGCGCGUAGGUGGUUUGAUAAGGGUGUGGUGAAAGUCCGGGGCUCAACCCCGGAUCUGCCGUGCCGACUGUCAAACUCGAGGACUGUAGAGGCAGACGGAAUUCCGGGUGUAGCGGUGGAAUGCGUAGAGAUCCGGAGGAAGACCGGUGGCGAAGGCGGUCUGCUGGGCAGUUUCUGACACUGAGGCGCGACAGCGUGGGGAGCAAACAGGAUUAGAUACCCUGGUAGUCCACGCCGUAAACGAUGGGUACUAGGUGCCUGGGGGAGCGACCCUCUGGGUGCCGGCGCUAACGCAGGAAGUACCCCGCCUGGGGAGUACGACCGCAAGGUUGAAACUCAAA